GAGGAUAUAGCUCAGUGGUAGAGCGCAUGCUUAGCAUGUACAAGGUCCUGAAUUCAAUCUCCAGUAUCGCCA
Molecule: transfer RNA, 72 nt
Filed under: Camelus bactrianus (Bactrian camel)
Lineage: Eukaryota; Metazoa; Chordata; Mammalia; Artiodactyla; Camelidae
Also listed under: 2 other names
Rfam family: tRNA
About the family: Transfer RNA (tRNA) molecules are approximately 80 nucleotides in length. Their secondary structure includes four short double-helical elements and three loops (D, anti-codon, and T loops).
Source: Rfam by way of RNAcentral